RNAcentral lists this long non-coding RNA (259 nucleotides) under Prunus persica (peach). RNAcentral describes it as "long non-coding RNA (PPER_LNC007067)". The record is from RNAcentral. Lineage: Eukaryota; Viridiplantae; Streptophyta; Magnoliopsida; Rosales; Rosaceae.
UCCAACACAAUUCCACAUAUAAACAAAUCCUUCGAAAUUAGCAAGUUUUUCAAUACCAUAAGACUUUUUGUUACUUGUUUAAAGUCUUGAUUGAAUACCAUUAGAUUUCGACACUCUCUUUUAAAAAUCCUUAUAGUCUUAAUGGAAAACCACAAGACUUGCUUAGAUUAUUUAAAAGUCUCAAUUGAAUACCACAAGACUUAUUUAUCCCAUAAAGUCUUUUAAAAUUCCAGUUGAAUACACCCCCUUAAGGCUUACC